CUUUUGCAGCCAGAGUGGAAACGGAAGAUGGCUUUCAGCAACCACACAAACAGCAGUUCAGCUGUGCCGGAGUUACUCCACAUGCUUGUGGAACAAAAGAAGACCCCACGCUUCAAUAAUUACAGCAACCCGGCCUUGGAGAUGCAAGAGGAGAUAAUGGCCUCUUUUUACAUCCUCAUCAUCGUUGGCUUUUUCGGCUUUCUGCUGUUUGUCAUGAUGCUCAGCAACAUCGUUUCCAGCAAGCCUGAAAAUUACAUUGACUAUCUCUAUUCUGGGAAGAUUAACCCUCAGAGAAGCAAGGUGGAGCUUCCAGGAACAGAGAGCAAAGACACUUUUGUUAUCAUUAACAGCACUGCCUUACUGGAGCUACAAAGGCAGGAUGGUAAAUACAACACUGGGCCUGAGGCAACAAGUGCAGAUGCAGUUCUGAGGAAUGUAUAAAAAUGGUUUCUUUUUUAUUAUUAUUGUUCUGUUGUGCAUAAGGAGCUCAAACAGCAAUAACUUUUUUUUCAUUCAUGAAAGCAAGAAAGGAGGAGCUGUGCCAGGAAAGAAGCAGACUGGUCUCAUGCAAGCUUCCCACAUGAAUGAUGUGAAGGUAACAAGUGCAACGUGCAACCUGUGUUAUUUCAGCCCUAGGCCUUUGGAGAAGAGGCUGGGAAUCACGUCCUUACUGGUCUAUCUCCUUCAGGGCUGCGUGUAUCAUGCAUUUUUAUAACCUGCCUCUCGGGAGAAUGGAAGCUCUUCCUUUUCAUGCUGUUGCUUCAAGCAGGGCCAGUACGCUUCCAGCUAGGGCAUCGUUGUGGUGCCUGUUUGCUGUUAUUAAUUUUUAUUUGUUUAUUUAUGUGGUGGAGGGGUUGGAGCUACACGUGAGCCCACUGGGUGUGUGCUCUGCAAGCAGGAGGAGCAGCAGCUGCCUCCUCAUCCACACUCCUCACCAUGCUGGGCACCAGAGGUGGUGACAGGCUGACCCAUGGAGGACCCGUGAGACUUGUACUUGUGUGCUCGCUUGGCAGGCUUGGUCUGCAGCGGGUUUUGGACAGUGGUCAUGCAUUUCUCAGCAGCUCUCUUCCUGCACGUUGGACUUGUACAAAAGCUCAGGAUGACAAUGAGGUGGUCCCAGACAUCCUGAUGUCUCUCCAGGGUCCAUCACAGGGCCUACCUGGCCAUCAUCAGGGCCUUCCUGGCCUCAGCAAACACAAGAAGGAGUGGUUUACCCACCACACAGCUCAGGGUUGUUCAUCCCAUGUCCUGCAGAGCCCUGGCACACAGGGGUUCAGGACAGUAGCUAUGGGGAGACAAACAGCAGUGAGCUUCAGCUUUCUAUUAUCAGUGCAUGCAUUGGAAAAAUCUCUGGAGUCUGGAGGUCAAAACGAUUGGAAACUGCUGGUGCAGGCUGAAGCAAGGGAAGCACCAGGCUAGAGGGUGAACUCCAAAGCCCUGGGAAGUACUAUUUGCCUCCCUGCAAACUCAGGGUGAGAUCAAAAGAGUGAUCCUCUCCCUGUUCUCUGUGAAGGAAAGCUCUCCAGGAGGGGUGUUUUACCAGGUUCCUUCCAUCUGGAUGUCUGUGGGACCAUGAGCUCUAAGUGCCACCUGAGUGCAUCUCAACCUCUAUGCUGAGGGAGCUUCUGCAUCACCACUGACCUGGGAAAUACUCAUGAGGAAGGCAGUCUUCCCAAAUGUUUUUGGGUCGUGGUGGGUCAAUAGGGAUGAGGUGCUGUCCCCUUUUUCUGGCUGAGCAGGGGCAGCAUAUUUCCUUCUUUCUGGUGGUCCUGGAGGGUUUGUAAGUGCUACAGUGUCCCGCCUUGCAGAGCUCCUCUGUUUUUCAUCCAGGUGGUCAAGUGCCAGUGCACUUUGAAACACUUUUCCUUUUCUUUUCCCUUCCUCACUUCAAGGAGAUGCAAAUGUGUGUACAUACAAAUUCCACAAUGAAAUAUAAGAGCUUUUUCUCCUAAAGGUGCCCCAUUCAUACACAUUCCAGGUAAAGGUGGCUGUGUAUUUCAGCUUAGCAGUGUCUCUGAUACUACCAACAGGAAAGCUGCUAAAGUCAACUUUUGCAGAGAAUCCCUAAUGCUGGAAAACAAAUUUCAUCAGUUUUCACAAGGUGCAUCACAGAUCUUUGUGGGAAACCUCUGGCAGUUGUAUUAAUUCUGUUCUGAGGAGUUUGGCACUGUUACUUGAGAUAUGAGCUUAAUUUAUUUUCUGAAGUUUCCACUUUUUUCUGUGUUUCCACCCUUAGGACAUCUUUGAUUUUGGCAAGUGCUUCUCUUGUUGGUUCCAUUGUGGAUUGAGAGCUAUAAUUACACACCUUUGGAAAUUCUCUUUUGAUACCAGACUUUCGAGUGAGACUUUAGCUAGUGUUCAGGACUUCAUCAGACAGCUAGGAGGAAAAAUGGAUUAUUUAAAUUGGGCAUGGUAUUUGUCAGAAAAAAUAAUCUUAUUUUUCCUCAUUCCACACAAGACUGGAAAAAAAGCCACCACAGAUUUCCUGUAGAAUAAUAUUCUCAAAUAUUGUUUUUUGGGAAAAAAAAUGUACUUACAUUUUAUAUAGAUAAAUAUAAAAUGUUAGAUUAACUUAAUUUAAGCUGCUGUACUUAAUACAGCACAUCAGCAGAAACAUCCACUGUUUGCCUAACAUCAUGCCUACUGUCUAUGUGUAUUUCAUUAUGUUCCAUAUUUCAUUAUGUUUUCAUUUUGUAUUUUAAAAUAAAGGGUUUGUGAUGAUUUUUAGCUUGUGUAAACAUGGUGAGUGUAACCUAAUCACAUAAUUACUACUGAAAUGGGUAAUUGGUAUGUACUGAUAAUUGGUAUCCUAAUUGCCUCAUUAAUAGGGACUUUGUUCAGGGGUAAUUGGUAAAUUUGCCAUUUAGCUAAGUGGUACACUGGAAUUCCAGAAAGCACCAAAAAAGCUUGUUAAGGGGGGGGUCAGGCCUCACCGUCCUUCCUGAGCAUCCCUGGGGAGUGCUCCACAUGGCUCUGAGCCCACCACCCAUGCCCAUAGCAGCCGGGGGACAGUCACCCCCAUCUGGUGCAGUGUGCUUGGGGUGUCAGGUGCAACGGCUGUGCACCAGGAGGACGGUGGUCCCAGCCACAACCUUCAGGGCACUGCCUUGCUGCCAGAGGCAGAGCUCGCAGGCAGGGCAGCAGGGCAAGAGGAGAAGGCUCUGGUUCAAUAUUUGAAGGAUGAGGUAACAAUUGGAAGUGUCUUUUCCCAAAUCCUAGAUGCACUUCAAGGCAGGGGCUAUGUCCAUGCAUUUUGCACUGUGUGGCCACGUUAGGGAAUGUCACAAGUCUGAAACUGCAAAAGGAAAAAUAGGUCUCUGACCCAAAGUGCUCACUGUCUGUGUAGACAAUGGCUGGGAGGGAAAAGAGGCAAAAAGUAACAGAGCAGACUAAAUGUAGCAUGGAAUAUAAAAUACGUGUUUUUAUGUCAGCCUACUGCCUUAUGUCUGCUGCCCAAGUUUUGUUUUUUUUAUUAUUUUUUUUUAAUAGUAUUGAGAUGUUGGAACCAUAAACAAUUGUUUCUAAAGCAGGUUAACAGAUGGUUUUCUGCCAUAUACUUGACUGGAGCAGAGGGGAAUCCAAUUCUCAAAUAAAUCCUCUGAAAAGGAAAUGAGAAGAGUUCAUCCCUCUGGUCUCAGUAGGUAUCAGCGACUAGCAUCAUAGUUAGUGUUUUUGUAACCACUUAGGUUCAGACCAAUUUUAUUAGGGGCUGAAGGAGACAGAGCACAGUGAUGUCACCUGACAGGCCAGGAGGGACACUGUCUUCCUGGGACAGCACCAAAAUACAGUGGAACAGACCUCGCCCAUGCCUAAGGCCUCACAAGCUGAAAGGCUGGUUUGAGCCUCCUUCAUCCACCUUGCCAAAAAAAAGGAUAAACAAAACAAGUGGUGCACAACACAAUUGCUCACGACCAGCCAACUAUGUCCAGCCAGUCCCCAAGCACUGGCAACACCCUCCCCCCAGCCAACUCCCCCCAGUUUCAUUGUUCAGCACGAUGCCUGUGGCAUGGGACACCCCUCUGGUCAACCUGGGCCAGCUGUCCUGGCUGUGUCCCCCCCGGCUCCUGGUGCACCCCCAGCCUCCUUGCUGGCAGGGCAGGGUGAGAAGCAGAAAAGUCCUUGACUUAAUGUAAGGUAAUAUAAAUUACUUAAUGUAAGGCUUAAUGUAAAGUAAAACACAGGUGUGUUAUCAGCAUUAUUUUUUCUCUAAAGCAAAAGCAUGGCACCGUAGCAGCUACUAGGAAGGCAAUUAACUCUAUCUCAGUUGAAGACAGGACAAUCUUAUAUCAGAUUUCCAGAGUUCUGAUCUCCACGUGAUGGUGCUAACAUGAUGUGGACCACCACUCAUCUACCUCAGCAAGGAGAGCAUGUAGACAGCUGAGUUAGCCCCUACAUUCCUGCUCACACAUAUUUUGAAUUCACAGUUUCCCACUGCUUUAAGGGAAAGGUGUUAAGAGGAGAAAUGUUCUGGAGAGAACAUGUCCUGUCCUAUGAGAGAAUGACCUGUCCUAUGGGGUAUCUUCAUUUGCUGCCACCUUUCAUUCUCAGCCUUGUAGGUACAGCUAAGUGUGAGCAAUUUACCAGUCUUGCUACUGCCAUGCUUGUUCCUGAGGUAAAAGUCUGUGUGAGCAUCUAAGGGAGGAGAAAGGAGAGGUAAGAAACCAAGCAGGUCAAGGUAGUCUUCACGUGUGUGUUCAAUAAUACAGCAUGAGCAAUUUUUUCCCUCCCACAAUCACUUCCCUUGCUCUAAAGGAGCCGCUCACCUUUGGAUGGUGUUGGUGUCAGGCUCAAUGCAGGUUCCUCAGGGGUUCAUCUGUAGAAAUGGGUGCACAAUGUGGAAAGCUAAAGGUCUCUAAAAAACAGAUUAGUCCUGAAAAUAUAUCACCCUGAAGCAAUGCCCAAGGCAUUGUGAUUUCUUCCCCCUCCAGGGCCUGAAACUGGGCAGGCUGUACAUGAUGGACAUCAUACACAUGACUUCGGUGUUGGGAUCCAGGCUCGCUGAUAAGUUGCAUCCUCCUCAGCCUGAUGGGACCACUGAUUUCCAAGAUUGGGUUAUUUCUGAUCAGCCCCCUGGAAGCCCCAGGGCUGCUGCUGGCUGAGUGUGACAACACAGGUACCACCAGGGCAACCGGGUUCUUUGUGAGCUCGGUGGCUUCCUACCCCUUCCAACUCU
RNAcentral lists this long non-coding RNA (5173 nucleotides) under Anas zonorhyncha (Eastern spot-billed duck). RNAcentral's name for it is "lncRNA (ENSAZOG00000001348.1)". Lineage: Eukaryota; Metazoa; Chordata; Aves; Anseriformes; Anatidae. The record is from RNAcentral.